RNAcentral lists this transfer RNA (73 nucleotides) under Babjeviella inositovora NRRL Y-12698. It matches the Rfam family "tRNA". From Rfam's summary of the family: Transfer RNA (tRNA) molecules are approximately 80 nucleotides in length. The record is from Rfam by way of RNAcentral. Lineage: Eukaryota; Fungi; Ascomycota; Pichiomycetes; Serinales.
GAGUGGUUAGCUUAAUUGGUAAAGCCGUCGCUUUACACGCGAUUGAGUAAAGGUUCGAAUCCUUUACCGCUUA